Molecule: ribosomal RNA, 1310 nt
Filed under: Fusarium oxysporum
Lineage: Eukaryota; Fungi; Ascomycota; Sordariomycetes; Hypocreales; Nectriaceae
Description: eukaryotic LSU rRNA
Rfam family: Eukaryotic large subunit ribosomal RNA
Source: RNAcentral
UGCCCUAGUAACGGCGAGUGAAGCGGCAACAGCUCAAAUUUGAAAUCUGGCUCUCGGGCCCGAGUUGUAAUUUGUAGAGGAUACUUUUGAUGCGGUGCCUUCCGAGUUCCCUGGAACGGGACGCCAUAGAGGGUGAGAGCCCCGUCUGGUUGGAUGCCAAAUCUCUGUAAAGUUCCUUCAACGAGUCGAGUAGUUUGGGAAUGCUGCUCUAAAUGGGAGGUAUAUGUCUUCUAAAGCUAAAUACCGGCCAGAGACCGAUAGCGCACAAGUAGAGUGAUCGAAAGAUGAAAAGCACUUUGAAAAGAGAGUUAAAAAGUACGUGAAAUUGUUGAAAGGGAAGCGUUUAUGACCAGACUUGGGCUUGGUUAAUCAUCUGGGGUUCUCCCCAGUGCACUUUUCCAGUCCAGGCCAGCAUCAGUUUUCCCCGGGGGAUAAAGGCGGCGGGAAUGUGGCUCUCUUCGGGGAGUGUUAUAGCCCACCGUGUAAUACCCUGGGGGGGACUGAGGUUCGCGCAUCUGCAAGGAUGCUGGCGUAAUGGUCAUCAACGACCCGUCUUGAAACACGGACCAAGGAGUCGUCUUCGUAUGCGAGUGUUCGGGUGUCAAACCCCUACGCGUAAUGAAAGUGAACGCAGGUGAGAGCUUCGGCGCAUCAUCGACCGAUCCUGAUGUUCUCGGAUGGAUUUGAGUAAGAGCAUACGGGGCCGGACCCGAAAGAAGGUGAACUAUGCCUGUAUAGGGUGAAGCCAGAGGAAACUCUGGUGGAGGCUCGCAGCGGUUCUGACGUGCAAAUCGAUCGUCAAAUAUGGGCAUGGGGGCGAAAGACUAAUCGAACCUUCUAGUAGCUGGUUUCCGCCGAAGUUUCCCUCAGGAUAGCAGUGUUGAACUCAGUUUUAUGAGGUAAAGCGAAUGAUUAGGGACUCGGGGGCGCUAUUUAGCCUUCAUCCAUUCUCAAACUUUAAAUAUGUAAGAAGCUCUUGUUGCUUAAUUGAACGUGAGCAUUCGAAUGUAUCAACACUAGUGGGCCAUUUUUGGUAAGCAGAACUGGCGAUGCGGGAUGAACCGAACGCGAGGUUAAGGUGCCAGAGUAGACGCUCAUCAGACACCACAAAAGGUGUUAGUACAUCUUGACAGCAGGACGGUGGCCAUGGAAGUCGGAAUCCGCUAAGGACUGUGUAACAACUCACCUGCCGAAUGUACUAGCCCUGAAAAUGGAUGGCGCUCAAGCGUCUCACCCAUACCUCGCCCUCAGGGUAGAAACGAUGCCCUGAGGAGUAGGCGGACGUGGAGGUCAGUGACGAAGCCUAGGGC